UUUUUUUUUUUUUUUUUGAUACAGAGUCUUGCUCUGUCGCCCAGGCUGGAAUGCAGUGGCACAAUCUUGGCUCACUGCAACCUCUGCCUCCCAGGUUCAAGUGAUUCUCCUGCCUCAGCCUCCCGAGUAGCUGGGACUCCCAAGGCGCAUACCACCACGCCCAGCUAAUUUUUUGUAUUUUUAGUAGAGAGGGGGUUUCACCAUGUUAGCCAGGGUGGUCUCGAUCUCCUGACCCCGUGAUCUGCCCGUUUCUUUCGUUUCUGGUCGUUGGCACGGUGGACACAAUGCCUGGAGUGACUACAGCCAUACUGUGACUGUGGGGACAGGAGCCCAUAUGCUGAGCUUGGGAGAACUGAAGGAUGGACAGAACCUGGGUCGUUAAUGACAUUACAUUUGUCUCCCUUGGGACUUCUCAUUAUAUAUCACAAUAAAUCCCCUAUUGUUUAAACAUUUUUGAGUUAGGUUUUCUGCCACUUGUGUCAAAAUCAUUCUUGCUGAUAAGUGCCUCAGACUUAAUGGUCUUCUGGCUUCUGGAACGUGCCAUCCUCCUUCCAUGGAGCUGCAGCCCUGUUGUUUCCUCACGUGUUCUUCUUAUCCUCGUUAACCUCCAAGCCCCUGGUUGAAUGUUACUUCUCUGAUCUAGCAGGGUUUCUCCAUGCCACCUAUCACCGUUUAAAAUUAUGGACUUCUUUACUUUUUUAAAAUAUUUUUUUUUGAGACAGAGUCUUGCUCUGUCACCCAGGCUAGAGUGCAGUAGCACAAUCAGCGCUCACUACAGCCUCAUCUCCCAGGCUUAAGUGAUCCUCCCACCUCAGCCUCCCAAGUAGCUGGAACUACAGGUGUGUGCCACCACACUCGGCUAAUUUUUUUUUAUUUUUAGUAGAGACAAGGUCUCACUAUGCGGCCAGGCUGGUCUGGAACUCCUAGCCUCAAGUGAUCCUUCUACUUCAGCCUCCCAAAGUGCUGGGAUUACAGGCAUGAGCCAUGGUGCCCGUUCUCUUUACUAGCUUGAUUAACAUCUGGCUCCCCCACUGGCGUGGCAGCUCUACACAGGUAAGACCUACGGCUGUUUUUGCUCACCAUUGUGUACCCUCCCACUGUGAUGGCCAGAGAACUUAUACAAGUUCACUUAGUCAGGGACCUGAUAGAGGAGAGAGAUAGUGCAUUCCAAAGGAUUAAAGUGAGGCUAAUUUAAUGAAAGGACCAUUCACAGAGUGUAGCAGGCCCCAGGGUUGAUGAAGCACCCAGGGAUGAGCAACAGCUGGAAGCUGUCACACUUCUAGGUUUGAAGGGAUGAGAGAAGAAUGUGGGCUUUUGGAACCUGGAGAGAAAGCUGCUGCUUUCAGAAAGAGACCCCACCUGUGGCAAUACAAAAAGGAUUGCAGACACUGCCAACCCACAGCCAAAGGAAGGCAGCCAGAGAAGCUCACUCUCUUCUCUCCCUCCAACCUCUCCUUGGUUCCUCCAUACAGAUGCUUCUUGACUUACGAUGGGGCUACAUCCGAAUUAACCCACUAUAAGUCAAAAAUAUCAUGUCAUUAAACGCUUUUAUUUUAUUUAUUUAUUUAUUUUUUGAGGCAGAGUCUCAUAUUAUCACCCAGGCUGGAGUGCAAUGGUGUGAUCUUGGCUUAAUGCAACCUCCAUCUCCCAGGUUCAAGCGAUUCUAGUGCCUCAGUCUCCCAAGUAGCUGAGACUACAGGCAUGCGCCUCCACGCCAGGCUAAUCUUUGUAUUUUCAGUAGAGAUGGGGUUUCGCCAUGUUGGCCAGGCUGGUCUUAAACUCCUGGCCUCAAGUGAUCCGUCUGCCUCAGCCUCCCAGAGUGCUGGGAUUACUUACAGGCUUGAGCUACCAUACCAGGCCCAUUAAAUGCUUUAAUACCCCCAAUACACCCAUUAUAAAGUUGAAAACUUAUAAGUUGAACCAUCGUAAGUCAGGGACCCUCUAUAGAAGCCAGAAGGCAUGGAGUCUGGGUAGUGUGAAGGUUGGCCUCCCAGGCACAGGACAGGAUGGAGGAUAGAGAAUGGCUCUGGAGGGGACAGCGAAGACUAUCCAGACCAGUCACCAAAUGACCUCCUAGCUACUCAUUUCAGUGCACCCUUUUCCUUUCUUAACCACCCUGCAGAAUUUGAUAAUUUUAACUCCAACAUUUUCAGGAUCAGAAAGUGUACCAUGAGGGUCUUUUCCAUGCCUUGCCCUCCUCCCUUGAGACAUCUCCAAUCAGACCCACUUGUUUCCUUUCAGCCGGGCUCAGAGGAUAGAUCCCAGCUCACUUACAAGUCUUUCUUCUUUUCAUCCUCUCCCUUUCUGGGGGUGCCCUCUCUCAAGACCAGGAAAUUCUAGGGUUUCUCCUGUUUUCAGAAACCCUCCCUUGAUUGCCCACAUUUUUCUUGCUACCAUUCAACUCCUUCCCUAGUCAUCCAACCUUCUCUAAGGAAGGUUCUGCCACUCCUCCACCUAUUCAGUCCACUGACCCUGGGGAAGCUAGCUUUUGCCCCUUUGCCCCCAAAACAGUUCCUGCCAAGGUUCAUAGGAGCCCCCUGAUUGCUGGAUUCAAAAGACUUUGUGCUUCUUAUUUUUCUGAGAUUCGGGGCAUCGAGCUGUGGCGAUUACUUUCUCCCUGAAACUCUUCCUUACUUUGGUUGCUAUGGCAACCUCCUCUCCUAGUUAUUUGUCUCAUUGCUCAGGUCCUUCCUUUUCCUCUCUCCUUUGUAACCCACCCACACCUCCGUCAGCCCCUCACAUGUCUCCGGGACUUACGAUUCUGCUAUGAGCCCUCUCCCAUCUUCCCUCUACACUCUCCACCUCCCAUCUUCCCUCUACACUCUCUGCCUGGCGGUCUUGCUCCUUCCUGGAGUCCUAUUAACCUCUGUCCCCAGGUUGGUCCCUCCAAUCAGAUUUCUUCCUGAGUCCCAGCUCUGGCAUCCAGCUGUCUGCCAACCUCCUCCUGGCUGUACCCCAGGACCCUCAGCUCUACUUCUCUGAGACUGAGCCCAUUUUCCCUCCUCAAACUGGCUACCAUGCUGUGUUCCCCUUCUCAAGCACCUCACCAUCUGCCAAAGAUCCCAACCAAGACACACGGGAAUCACCCUUGGUUCUACCCUCUCUCACACCAGCAGCCAACAAUCCUUAUGCAUUUCUGAAUUUAUUUUCUAAAUUGGCUCCCUGCCUAGAGACCAUCUCCUUCCAAAUAUAGUCUUCACACUGACCAUCUCAGUGGUCUUCCCAAAUAACAAAUCCAAACAUCACUCUAGUGUAAAAACUUUCAACAGUGCCCAAUGACUGCAGGACAGUGUCCGAAUUCCUUGACAUGGGGGCAUCCAAAGCCCUGCAGGGUCUGGUCUCUGUCCACUUCAUUUUACUCUUCCCAUCCUCUCCUUCUUUUGUUAUAGUCCAGGAACACCAAAUACCCUCCAGCUCACUCU
Macaca fascicularis (crab-eating macaque) is the source of this 3422-nucleotide long non-coding RNA. Lineage: Eukaryota; Metazoa; Chordata; Mammalia; Primates; Cercopithecidae. The record is from Ensembl.